UACGGAGGGUGCAAGCGUUGUCCGGAAUCACUGGGCGUAAAGGGCGCGUAGGCGGCUCGGUAAGUAGGGGGUGAAAUCCUGCGGCUCAACCGCAGGGCUGCCUUCUAAACUGUCGAGCUCGAGCACGGUAGAGGCAGAUGGAAUUCCCGGUGUAGCGGUGGAAUGCGUAGAGAUCGGGAAGAACAUCGGUGGCGAAGGCGCUCUACUGGACCACAACUGACACUCAGGGACGAAAGCUAGGGGAGCGAAUGGG
RNAcentral lists this ribosomal RNA (253 nucleotides) under uncultured bacterium. RNAcentral's name for it is "partial 16S ribosomal RNA". It matches the Rfam family "Bacterial small subunit ribosomal RNA", at positions 524 to 776 of the family's 1533-position model. The record is from RNAcentral.